GGUCUGCUGCGCGGUGCGUCAGGCAGCCAACGUCCCUGGGGCUAUAUCUUCCUCUUGGGAGCUGUCCCUGUCGAGGCCCUGGUCUCGUUACACGGCGCCCACCUGCACAAGCAGGCCACGGAGGACUUGCAGGCCAACGGCCGAGGUGGCGCCGC
This 155-nucleotide non-coding RNA is filed under the name Magnetospirillum sp. SS-4. RNAcentral describes it as "6S". It matches the Rfam family "6S / SsrS RNA". Rfam says of the family: E. coli 6S RNA was the first non coding RNA to be sequenced, but its function was unknown until recently. The record is from RNAcentral. Lineage: Bacteria; Pseudomonadati; Pseudomonadota; Alphaproteobacteria; Rhodospirillales; Rhodospirillaceae.